CCUACGGGUGGCAGCAGUGGGGAAUAUUGGACAAUGGGCGAAAGCCUGAUCCAGCCAUGCCGCGUGUGUGAAGAAGACCUUCGGGUUGUAAAGCACUUUCAGUGGGGAAGAAAGCCUUGGGGCUAAUACCCUCGAGGAAGGACAUCACCCACAGAAGAAGCACCGGCUAACUCCGUGCCAGCAGCCGCGGUAAUACGGAGGGUGCGAGCGUUAAUCGGAAUUACUGGGCGUAAAGCGCGCGUAGGCGGUCUGAUAAGCCGGUUGUGAAAGCCCCGGGCUCAACCUGGGAACGGCAUCCGGAACUGUCAGGCUAGAGUGCAGGAGAGGAAGGUAGAAUUCCCGGUGUAGCGGUGAAAUGCGUAGAGAUCGGGAGGAAUACCAGUGGCGAAGGCGGCCUUCUGGACUGACACUGACGCUGAGGUGCGAAAGCGUGGGUAGCAAACAGGAUUAGAUACCCGAGUAGUC
RNAcentral lists this ribosomal RNA (465 nucleotides) under Vreelandella stevensii. Its description in RNAcentral is "partial 16S ribosomal RNA". It matches the Rfam family "Bacterial small subunit ribosomal RNA", at positions 338 to 795 of the family's 1533-position model. The record is from RNAcentral. Lineage: Bacteria; Pseudomonadati; Pseudomonadota; Gammaproteobacteria; Oceanospirillales; Halomonadaceae.